This 459-nucleotide ribosomal RNA is filed under the name uncultured bacterium. RNAcentral describes it as "partial 16S ribosomal RNA". It matches the Rfam family "Bacterial small subunit ribosomal RNA", at positions 338 to 795 of the family's 1533-position model. The record is from RNAcentral.
CCUACGGGUGGCUGCAGUGAGGAAUAUUGGUCAAUGGGCGCGAGCCUGAACCAGCCAAGUAGCGUGAAGGAUGACUGCCCUACGGGUUGUAACUUCUUUUAUAAAGGAAUAAAGUGAGGCACGGGGGCCGUUUUGUAUGUACUUUAUGAAUAAGGAUCGGUUAACUCCGUGCCAGCAGCCGCGGUAAUACGGAUGAUCCGAGCUUUAUCCGGAUUUAUUUGGUUUAAAGGGAGCGUAGAUGGGUUGUUAAGUCAGUUGUGAAAGUUUGCGGCUCAACCGUAAAAUUGCAAUUGAUACUGGCAGUCUUGAGUACAGUUGAGGUAGGCGGAAUUCGUGGUGUAGCGGUGAAAUGCUUAGAUAUCACGAAGAACUCCGAUUGCGAAGGCAGCUUACUAAACUGCCACUGACAUUGAUGCUCGAAAGUGUGGGUAUCAAACAGGAUUAGAUACCCUAGUAGUC